UACUCUUCGGGGUUGUAGGACUGCAAUGUGGACUCAAAGAUUAUAGAAGAAUGAUUUGGGAAGAUCAGCCAAAGAGAGUAAUAGCCUCGUAUUUAAAAUAGUCUUUGUACCUAGCAGUAUCCUGAGUACGGCGGGACACGUGAAAUCCCGUCGGAAUCUGGGAGGACCAUCUCCCAACCCUAAAUACUCCCUAGUGACCGAUAGUGAACCAGUACCGUGAGGGAAAGGUGAAAAGCACCCCGGGAGGGGAGUGAAAUAGAACCUGAAACCGUGUGCCUACAACAAGUUCGAGCCCGUUAAUGGGUGAGAGCGUGCCUUUUGUAGAAUGAACCGGCGAGUUACGUUAUGAUGCGAGGUUAAGUUGAAGAGACGGAGCCGUAGGGAAACCGAGUCUGAAUAGGGCGCCUUAGUAUCAUGACGUAGACCCGAAACCAUGUGACCUACCCAUGAGCAGGUUGAAGGUGCGGUAAGACGCACUGGAGGACCGAACCAGGGCACGUUGAAAAGUGCUUGGAUGACUUGUGGGUAGCGGAGAAAUUCCAAACGAACUUGGAGAUAGCUGGUUCUCUCCGAAAUAGCUUUAGGGCUAGCGUCGACAUUAGAGAUUCUUGGAGGUAGAGCACUGUUUGGGUGAGGGGUCCAUCCCGGAUUACCAAUCUCAGAUAAACUCCGAAUGCCAAUGAAUUAUGGUCGGCAGUCAGACUGCGAGUGCUAAGAUCCGUAGUCGAAAGGGAAACAGCCCAGACCACCAGCUAAGGUCCCAAAAUAAUUGUUAAGUGGAAAAGGAUGUGGGGUUGCACAGACAACUAGGAUGUUAGCUUAGAAGCAGCUAUUCAUUCAAAGAGUGCGUAAUAGCUCACUAGUCGAGUGACCCUGCGCCGAAAAUGUACCGGGGCUAAAACAAUUUACCGAAGCUGUGGAUACCUUUAUAGGUAUGGUAGGAGAGCGUUCUAUGUGUGAUGAAGGUAUACCGUGAGGAGUGCUGGAACGCAUAGAAGUGAGAAUGCCGGUAUGAGUAGCGAAAGACAGGUGAGAAUCCUGUCCACCGUAAGACUAAGGUUUCCAGGGGAAGGCUCGUCCGCCCUGGGUUAGUCGGGACCUAAGGAGAGACCGAAAGGUGUAUCCGAUGGACAACAGGUUGAUAUUCCUGUACUAGAGUAUGUAGUGAUGGAGGGACGCAGUAGGCUAACUAAAGCAGACGAUUGGAAGAGUCUGUCUAAGCAGUGAGGUGUGAAUUGAGUCAAAUGCUUAAUUCUAUAACAUUGAGCUGUGAUGGGGAGCGAAGUUUAGUAGCGAAGUUAGUGACGUCACACUGCCAAGAAAAGCUUCUAGCGUUUAAACAUACUCUACCCGUACCGCAAACCGACACAGGUAGUCGAGGCGAGUAGCCUCAGGUGAGCGAGAGAACUCUCGUUAAGGAACUCGGCAAAAUGACCCCGUAACUUCGGGAGAAGGGGUGCUGACUUAAAGUCAGCCGCAGUGAAUAGGCCCAAGCAACUGUUUAUCAAAAACACAGCUCUCUGCUAAAUCGUAAGAUGAUGUAUAGGGGGUGACGCCUGCCCGGUGCUGGAAGGUUAAGAGGAGUGCUUAGCGUAAGCGAAGGUAUGAAUUGAAGCCCCAGUAAACGGCGGCCGUAACUAUAACGGUCCUAAGGUAGCGAAAUUCCUUGUCGGGUAAGUUCCGACCCGCACGAAAGGCGUAAUGAUUUGGGCACUGUCUCA
RNAcentral lists this ribosomal RNA (1721 nucleotides) under Streptococcus pneumoniae. RNAcentral's name for it is "bacterial LSU rRNA". It matches the Rfam family "Bacterial large subunit ribosomal RNA", at positions 286 to 2023 of the family's 2925-position model. The record is from RNAcentral. Lineage: Bacteria; Bacillati; Bacillota; Bacilli; Lactobacillales; Streptococcaceae.